Non-coding RNA from Pantherophis guttatus, 1674 nucleotides. Lineage: Eukaryota; Metazoa; Chordata; Lepidosauria; Squamata; Colubridae. The record is from RefSeq and is a predicted model, not a curated record.
UCUGGUGGGGGUAACGGGAAGAAGGUUACUGCGCCCCCACCCCAAGGGAGACCUUGGGGAAAAGGCUGCAGGGCGAGGGAGGCGGGAGCUUGCGGGACUCCUCCCCUUUCCUGUCGGCCACGCCCCUCCCAGUACAUUUCCCUCAGACGGAGAAGCGGGAAAAGUGGAUCCGAGAAGAGUGGGAGGAGCCUAUUCUGGCGGGAAGAACUGAGAGAGACUGACGGAUGUGGCUCUGAGGGAAGCGCCGCCAUUUUGGGAUCUUUGGGGUCCUCAGGAAAUAAUUCGACUCUUCCUAUCUCUGGGUCAGAGAUCGAACUGGGCCUCCUAGUUGUCUUUUCUCCCUUUGCCCCCAGUGUCCUCCUCAGGAGCCCCUUUCCGGCUUCUCUUAUGGGAGACCCCCCAAGGGACCCUUUGAAAUCAUCCCGUCACUGAGGCGAAUGAAUGGGACGAUCCCCAGAUCCCCUCAAUGGAUCCCUUCCAAGCCCUCGGCCUCCACUCGCCCCCAAAGACCCUUCAGAAUAAUGAUGGUGUUUCUUUCAGGGCUUCAUUUGCAAAGGGAAAGAGUGGAAUCGCUGGCUGGAGAAUAAGGAAUAUGUUGAAUGGACUUAUUCCAUUAGUACAGAAUUUAAUUGUAUCAAAUGGAAAGAUAAAUGUAGAUGCUGCCUGGACCUCCCCACCAUGACUCAAAGUGCAAACCUUUAAAGGCCAAAAAUAUCUUCCAAGUUGUAGAAAGAGGCAAAAGGCUGAAAUUUUCUGGUUCCCCUUUGAGUCUUCUGGUGCAAAGGAAGAAGAGAAAGUUGGCCAAAGCACUUUCAAUGAUGCAUGGAUUAUCUCCACAGAUGUAAAAUUACAUAAUUGGGAAGUUCUGCUCAAAUUCCAUACAUUUAUAAGGAGUGUAAUGGUCUUCCCACAUUAAAAUAGGCUCUAGUUUCACCGCUUUGUUGCUGCCUUUAUAGGUGGAUCCUGCAUUGAGAAUGCUUUCCUCAUGUUCCAUGGAUGUAUGUGCAUCGUUCAUUCAUAAACCAGGGAGCCUGGUUUAGCUCAACAGACAGAAGCACUGUAAUUUAACACCAGCUGUCUGCAAUUAAAGUAAGAUCGAAUCCCGCCAGGCUCAAGGUUGACUCAGCCUUCCAUCCUUUCUAAGUUUUCUUCCAGAGGAACCCUUACCUAAAGAAGCCAUGAUCCUACAUGUCUCCAACAUGACUUCUUGAUGCAGGGCUUUCUGGCUGGGAUCAAGCAGCAACCACUCUUCACUGGUGAAAUGGAUGGCCACCUCCCCAAAGGACACAGGACCCUAAAGAAGGAAAAAUUCCUGUGAGCAGACUCGACAGAAUUUGCAAGAUCUCCUUCAAUCUGCAAAUCCUAAAAACAUAGUAUUAUGCUUAUUUGGACAUUUCCCUGGCAUGGCUCAGGAUGUUAUGUGAUAACACCAAUCCCUGAUCUCUCAGAGAAGUGGGGGAGUGUUAUACAAUACAUCCUUUUCAUCUGUGUGUAAGUAACUUACACUAAAAGGUGUAAAUUGUAACUUACAUUAAAAAUCCACAACCACCCCUAAAGGGGUCCCCUAACCCCUUUAACUCUUUCCUAGACAAAAAGUUCGGAAGAGGCCAAUUUGAAAUGACUUCAUCCCAAAAGCAUCCCAAAUCAGCACUGAUAAAGGUUUUAAAAGACAAA